RNAcentral lists this transfer RNA (71 nucleotides) under Rasbora sp. 1 HN-2021. RNAcentral describes it as "tRNA-Thr". It matches the Rfam family "tRNA". From Rfam's summary of the family: Transfer RNA (tRNA) molecules are approximately 80 nucleotides in length. Lineage: Eukaryota; Metazoa; Chordata; Actinopteri; Cypriniformes; Danionidae. The record is from RNAcentral.
GCCUUAGUAGCUUAGAUCAAAGCAUCGGUCUUGUAAUCCGAGGAUCGGAGGUUAAAUUCCCCCCUAAGGCC